Long non-coding RNA from Mustela erminea (ermine), 82 nucleotides. RefSeq lists it as uncharacterized. NCBI's taxonomy places the organism in Eukaryota, Metazoa, Chordata, Mammalia, Carnivora, Mustelidae. The record is from RefSeq and is a predicted model, not a curated record. The transcript is spliced from 3 exons.
GAUGUUCAGCAUCUUUUGAUGUGUCUUUUGGCCAACUCUGCAUCUUCUUUGGAGAAAUGUCUAUUCAUAUCUUCUUCCCAUU